This 514-nucleotide ribosomal RNA is filed under the name uncultured bacterium. RNAcentral describes it as "partial 16S ribosomal RNA". It matches the Rfam family "Bacterial small subunit ribosomal RNA", at positions 28 to 523 of the family's 1533-position model. The record is from RNAcentral.
GAUGAACGCUGGCGGCGUGCCUAAUACAUGCAAGUCGAGCGGACAGACGAGAAGCUUGCUUCUCUGAUGUUAGCGACGGACGGGUGAGUAACACGUGGGUAACCUACCUAUAAGACUGGGAUAACUCCGGGAAACCGGGGCUAAUACCGGACAAUAUUUUGAACCGCAUGGUUCGAUAGUGAAAGACGGUUUCGGCUGUCACUUAUAGAUGGACCCGCGCCGUAUUAGCUAGUUGGUAAGGUAACGGCUUACCAAGGCGACGAUACGUAGCCGACCUGAGAGGGUGAUCGGCCACACUGGAACUGAGACACGGUCCAGACUCCUACGGGAGGCAGCAGUAGGGAAUCUUCCGCAAUGGGCGAAAGCCUGACGGAGCAACGCCGCGUGAGUGAUGAAGGUCUUCGGAUCGUAAAACUCUGUUGUUAGGGAAGAACAAAUUUGUUAGUAACUGAACAAGUCUUGACGGUACCUAACCAGAAAGCCACGGCUAACUACGUGCCAGCCGCCGCCGUAA